RNA transcript from Cebus imitator (Panamanian white-faced capuchin), 1676 nucleotides. It is a transcript of the gene named saoe class I histocompatibility antigen, A alpha chain-like, with no coding region annotated. Lineage: Eukaryota; Metazoa; Chordata; Mammalia; Primates; Cebidae. The transcript has 8 exons. The record is from RefSeq and is a predicted model, not a curated record.
GGCGCAGCUUUGGGGAUUCCUUAUCUCCGCAGUUUCUCUUCCCCUCCUCACUUGUGUCGGGACCUUCUUCCUGGAUACUCACGACGUGAACCCAGUUCCCACUCCCACUGGGUGUCGGGUUCCUAGAGAAGCCAAUCAGCUCACCGCGGUCCCGGUUUUAAAGUCCCCAGUCUCCCUUGGCGCCCCGAACCACCCAUGGCGCCCCAAACCCUCUCCCUUAUGCUCUUGGGGGCCCUGGCCCUGACUGAGACCUGAGCAGUCUCCCACCCCAUGAGGUAUUUGAGCACCCCCGCUUCAUCUCCGUGGGCUACAUGGACCACACGCAGAUUGUGCGGUUCAACAGCGACGCCGCGAGUCCGAGGAUAGAGCCGCGGGCGCCGUGGAUGGAGAAGGAGGGGCAGAGUAUUGGGACCCGGGGACACGGAUUUUCAAGGACACCGCACAGAGUUUCCAAGUGAACCUGCGGACCCUGCCCGGCUACUAAACCAGAGCGAGGCCGGGUCUCACACCCUCCAGGAGAUGUAGGGCUGCGACCUGGAGUCCGAAGGACGCCUUCUCCACGGGUAUCACGAGUUCGCCUACGACGGCAAGGAUUACCUCGCCCUGAACAAGGACCUGCGCUCCUGGACCGCCGCGGACCUGGCGGCUCAGAUCACCCAGCGCAAGUGGGAGGCGGACAAUGUGGCGGAGAAGAUGAGCGCCUAGCUUCAGAGCAGGUGCCUGGGGUGGAUCCGCAGACACCAGGAGAACGGGAAGGAGACACUGUAGCGCGCCGAUGCCCCCAAGACACACGUGACCCACCACCCCAUCUCUGACCAUGAGGCCACCCUGAGGUGCUGGGCCCUGGGCUUCUACCCUGCGGAGAUCACACUGACUUGGCAGCGAGAUGGGGAGGACCAGACCCAGGACAUGGAGCUCAUAGAGACCAGGCCCGCAGGGGAUGGAAACUUCCAGAAGUGGGCGGCUGUGGUGGUGCCUUCUGGAGAAGAGCAGAGAUACACCUGCCAUCUGCAGACCAAGGGGCUGCCCGAGCCCCUCACCCUGAGAUGGGAGCUGUCUUCCCAGCCCACCAUCUCCAUCGUGGGCAUCGUUGCUGGCCUGGCUGUCCUUGGAGCUGUAGUCACUGGAGCUGUGGUCACUGCUGUGAUGUGGAGGAAGAAGAGCUCAGAUAAAAAAGGAGGCAGCUACUCUCAGGCUGCAAGCAGUGACAGUGCCCAGGGCUCUGAUGUGUCUCUCACGGCUUGUAAAGUUUGAGACAGCUGCCUUGUGUGGGACUGAGAGUCAUGAUUUAUCCACACCUUCCGUUUGUACCUUCAAGAACCCUGAUUUCUCUUACUGCAAAGGCAUCUGAAUGUGUCUGUGUCCCUAUAGACAUAAUGUGAGGAGGUGGGGAGACCAGCCCAGCCCCGUGUCCACCAUGACCCCUUCCCCACGCUGACCUGCAUUCCUUCCCCGUCACCUUUCCUGUUCCAGAGACCUGGGGCUGGGAUGUCUCCAUCUCUGCCUCAACUUCAUGGUGCAGUGAGCUGUAACUUCUUAUUUUCUUUCCUAUUAAAAUUAGAAUGUGAAUGUAAUUUACUUCUUGAAAUUAUUUCCAUGAGACAUUGAUGGGAUAAUUAAAGGAAAAGAUUCCUGAAAUUUGAGACACAAAAUAAAUGGACGACCUGAGAACCUUC